ACCCGCUGAACUUAAGCAUAUCAAUAAGCGGAGGAAAAGAAACCAACAGGGAUUGCCUUAGUAACGGCGAGUGAAGCGGCAAAAGCUCAGAUUUGAAAUCUAGCGUCAUAUUGGCGUUCGAGUUGUAAUCUGUAGAGAAGUUAUCGAGUGUGGAUAUGGCUUAAGUUCUUUGGAACAGGACGUCAUAGAGGGUGAGAACCCCGUAUACGGCCUUUGUCUUAUGCUCAUGUGAGGCUUCUUCGACGAGUCGAGUUGUUUGGGAAUGCAGCUCUAAAUGGGUGGUAAAUUCCAUCUAAAGCUAAAUACUGGCAAGAGACCGAUAGCGCACAAGUAGAGUGAUCGAAAGAUGAAAAGAACUCUGAACAGAGAGUUAAAUAGUACGUGAAAUUGUUGAAAGGGAAGCACUUGCUACCAGACUCGCUUGCAGUUAAUCAACUAUCAUUCUUGGUAGUGCACUUUUCUGUAGGUGGGCCAGCAUCAGUUGUGUCGGUGGGAUAAAGGCAGUCGGAAUGUGGCUCUCUUCGGAGAGUGUUAUAGCCUUCUGUGUAAUACCAUCUAAUGCGACUGAGGUCAGCGCUUUUGCGAGGAUGCUGGCAUAAUGGUCGU
This 606-nucleotide ribosomal RNA is filed under the name uncultured fungus. Its description in RNAcentral is "eukaryotic LSU rRNA". It matches the Rfam family "Eukaryotic large subunit ribosomal RNA", at positions 23 to 641 of the family's 3401-position model. Lineage: Eukaryota; Fungi. The record is from RNAcentral.